RNAcentral lists this ribosomal RNA (758 nucleotides) under uncultured Nitrososphaerota archaeon. RNAcentral describes it as "bacterial SSU rRNA". It matches the Rfam family "Archaeal small subunit ribosomal RNA", at positions 102 to 859 of the family's 1478-position model. Lineage: Archaea; Thermoproteati; Nitrososphaerota. The record is from RNAcentral.
AGUCAAUCUUACAUAUGGACGUGGAUAACUUCGAGAUACUGAGAAUAAUCCGUGAUAGAUCAUAACUCCUGGUACGGUAGAUGGUGGAACAUGAUUCGUCGCCAUAGGAUGGAUUGCGGCCUAUCAGCUUGUUGGCGAGGUAAUGGCCCACCAAGGCUAUUACAGGUAUGGGAUCCGAGAGGAGAAGCCCGGAGAUGGGUACUGAGACACGGACCCAGGCCCUAUGGGGCGCAGCCGUCGAGAAACCUUUGCAAUUCCCGCAAGCACGACAAGGUUAAUCCGACUGUUUCCUGCUAAAGGAAUCCUUUGUUAGUUCUAAAACCAUUGAUGAAUCAGAGGUGGGCAAGUUCUGGCGUCAGCCGCCGCGGUAAAACCAGCACCUCAAGUGGUCAGGAGGAUUAUUGCGCCUAUAGCAUCCGUCGCUGAUUCUGUAAGUUACCGGUUAAAUCCACAAGCUCAAGUAGUGGCCGGCCGGAAUAUAGAAUACAAUUAGGGCGUGGGAGAGCUAGACGGUGCUUGGUAGGAAGGGGUAAACUCCUUUGAUAUAUUGAGGACCACAGGUGCCGAAGGGGGUCAACCAGAACACGUUCCCCGGUGAGGGAUGAAAGUGGGGGGACCAAACCUGACUAGAUACCCGGGUAGUCCCAGCCCUAUACGAAGCAGACUAGGCGAUGCAGUGCGUAGUGACUAGUGAAGUGCUGCACGGAACCCGUUAAUUUUCCGUUCCGGGGAAGUAAGUACGCAAGUAUGAAAAUGAA